This 65-nucleotide transfer RNA is filed under the name Oedipoda caerulescens. Its description in RNAcentral is "tRNA-Asn". Lineage: Eukaryota; Metazoa; Arthropoda; Insecta; Orthoptera; Acrididae. The record is from RNAcentral.
UUAAUUGAAGCCAAAAAGAGGCGUAUUACUGUUAAUAAUAUAAAUGAACUAAAGUUCCAAUUAAA